GAUGAACGCUGGCGGCAUGCCUAAUACAUGCAAGUCGAGCGAACGGACGAGAAGCUUGCGGCGCUGGUGUGAGCGGCGGACGGGUGAGUAACACGUGGAGAACCUACCUAGAAGGCUGGGAUAACUUCGGCAAACCAGAGCGAGUACCGAAUAAUAGUUUGAACCGGAGGGGGCGAAAGUGAAAGACGGUCUUGCUGGCGCGUAAAUAGGGAACCGCGCUGCAUUAGCUAGUUGGGAAGGAAAGGGCUUACCAAGGCAACGAUGCAUAGCCGACCUGAGGGAGUGAUCGGACACACUGGAACUGAGACACGGUCCAGACUCCUACGGGGGGCCGCAGUAGGGAAUAUUCCGCAAUGGGCGAAAGCAUGACGGAGCAAUGGGGCGUGAGUGAUGAAGGUAUUCGGAUCGUAAAGCUCUGUUACUAGGGGAGAAGAUCUGUGUAUGUAACUGUGCACAUAUUGACGGUACCUGAUCAGAAAGCCACGGCUAACUACGUG
RNAcentral lists this ribosomal RNA (497 nucleotides) under uncultured bacterium. Its description in RNAcentral is "partial 16S ribosomal RNA". It matches the Rfam family "Bacterial small subunit ribosomal RNA", at positions 28 to 507 of the family's 1533-position model. The record is from RNAcentral.